GUGCUCAUUUCAGCAGCACAUAUACGAAAGUUGGAACAAUAUUGAGAAGAUCAGCAUGGCCCCUAUGCAAGGAUGACACGUAAAUUCGUGAAGCAUUCCAUAUUUUU
Small nuclear RNA from Phyllostomus discolor (pale spear-nosed bat), 107 nucleotides. Lineage: Eukaryota; Metazoa; Chordata; Mammalia; Chiroptera; Phyllostomidae. The record is from RefSeq and is a predicted model, not a curated record.